This 253-nucleotide ribosomal RNA is filed under the name uncultured bacterium. RNAcentral describes it as "partial 16S ribosomal RNA". It matches the Rfam family "Bacterial small subunit ribosomal RNA", at positions 524 to 776 of the family's 1533-position model. The record is from RNAcentral.
UACGGAGGGGGCAAGCGUUGUUCGGAAUUAUUGGGCGUAAAGGGCGCGUAGGCGGCCGGAUAAGUCUGACGUGAAAUCCCUCGGCCUAACCGAGGAACUGCGUUUGAAACUGUCUGGCUCGAGUCCGGGAGAGGGUAGUGGAAUUCCCAGUGUAGCGGUGAAAUGCGUAGAUAUUGGGAGGAACACCGGUGGCGAAGGCGGCUACCUGGACCGGUACUGACGCUGAUGCGCGAAAGCUAGGGUAGCAAACAGG